Molecule: ribosomal RNA, 429 nt
Filed under: Pseudomonadota bacterium
Lineage: Bacteria; Pseudomonadati; Pseudomonadota
Description: Proteobacteria bacterium partial 16S ribosomal RNA
Rfam family: Bacterial small subunit ribosomal RNA
Source: RNAcentral
UGGGGAAUAUUGGACAAUGGGCGAAAGCCUGAUCCAGCCAUGCCGCGUGUGUGAAGAAGGUCUUCGGAUUGUAAAGCACUUUAAGUUGGGAGGAAGGGCAGUAAGCGAAUACCUUGCUGUUUUGACGUUACCGACAGAAUAAGCACCGGCUAACUCUGUGCCAGCAGCCGCGGUAAUACAGAGGGUGCAAGCGUUAAUCGGAAUUACUGGGCGUAAAGCGCGCGUAGGUGGUUCGUUAAGUUGAAUGUGAAAGCCCCGGGCUCAACCUGGGAACUGCAUCCAAAACUGGCGAGCUAGAGUAGGGCAGAGGGUGGUGGAAUUUCCUGUGUAGCGGUGAAAUUCGUAGAUAUAGGAAGGAACACCAGUGGCGAAGGCGACCACCUGGGCUCAUACUGACACUGAGGUGCGAAAGCGUGGGGAGCAAACAGG